GCCCUCCUUCGCGUGCUCAGCGCUUCCCAACCAAGCCCCAGCCCAGCCACCUCCCCGGCCUCCCGUGCCCAACAUCUCACGGCCAAACGCGCACCUGCCCACGCUCCACACGCUCUCAAGACGAUGGGGAGCAAACUCCGGUUCCUACAACGUGCCAGUCACCAGCGUUCCCUGCGUCUGACAGUGUGCCUGGCACGCGGCGGGGGCUUAAACACCAACAAUGCUUGCAGGGAAGCCCACUGAAGAUGCAUCUGAAGCACACAAACUCAUGUUUUUAAAGAAAAUUGGACUCAAUUUUGAUUUGUGGCACUGCAAGAGAAAGUGUUUACUUUUCCUUUUCUUUAAAGGCCACUGUGCAAACUAAUAAAUCAAUCAACGGACUCAGUUCCACACCUGGGCUAGAAGACUCUGAGGUCCCUUCCAACCACUCGCCUUUGGAGAACAGAGAUGACACAGGUGGCCAGCAGCUGUUUGUCAGACAUCUGCUCUGGAUAAUCCGCAACUGCGAACACACAUCCCAAGUUCACUAUGAACGUGUGAAGCGAGUCACGCCUGACCAUCACGUAUCCACCAGUACGGUGAGGACCUCGGGCACACUGCUGCAAACAUAGCUGCUCGCCUGUCUACGUCAAGUGACCGAGAACAUGAAACCAACGGCUCCUGCCUGGGCACUGAGCAUCCCGAGCUGGUCCCUGCGGCGGCCUGAUGUUCUAUGGACGCCAGUGUUCACCUCAGGGUAUGGCGUCCCGAAGUACCAAAGAAAUCUAACUGUUCCGUCCUCGUAACUACCUCCUCUGUUAGGUAACGAGACCCCCAUUCCCCGUUUUCUAAGCGUUAUUUUGGCAUGAAUCCUUACCCUACCCGCAAACACUCUCCAAGUAAGUACGAGACUUUUGGGAGAAGAAAAAGGAAGAAAGCACA
Balaenoptera musculus (blue whale) is the source of this 921-nucleotide long non-coding RNA. RefSeq lists it as uncharacterized. NCBI's taxonomy places the organism in Eukaryota, Metazoa, Chordata, Mammalia, Artiodactyla, Balaenopteridae. The transcript is spliced from 4 exons. The record is from RefSeq and is a predicted model, not a curated record.